AGAGUUUGAUCCUGGCUCAGGAUGAACGCUGGCGGCGUGCUUAACACAUGCAAGUCGAACGAAGCGCUUAAACGGAUUUCUUCGGAUUGAAGUUUUUGUGACUGAGUGGCGGACGGGUGAGUAACGCGUGGGUAACCUGCCUCAUACAGGGGGAUAACAGUUAGAAAUGACUGCUAAUACCGCAUAAGCGCACAGUGCUGCAUGGCACAGUGUGAAAAACUCCGGUGGUAUGAGAUGGACCCGCGUCUGAUUAGCUAGUUGGUGGGGUAACGGCCUACCAAGGCGACGAUCAGUAGCCGGCCUGAGAGGGUGAACGGCCACAUUGGGACUGAGACACGGCCCAAACUCCUACGGGAGGCAGCAGUGGGGAAUAUUGCACAAUGGGGGAAACCCUGAUGCAGCGACGCCGCGUGAGCGAAGAAGUAUUUCGGUAUGUAAAGCUCUAUCAGCAGGGAAGAAAAUGACGGUACCUGACUAAGAAGCACCGGCUAAAUACGUGCCAGCAGCCGCGGUAAUACGUAUGGUGCAAGCGUUAUCCGGAUUUACUGGGUGUAAAGGGAGCGUAGACGGUUGUGUAAGUCUGAUGUGAAAGCCCGGGGCUCAACCCCGGGACUGCAUUGGAAACUAUGUAACUAGAGUGUCGGAGAGGUAAGCGGAAUUCCUAGUGUAGCGGUGAAAUGCGUAGAUAUUAGGAGGAACACCAGUGGCGAAGGCGGCUUACUGGACGAUCACUGACGUUGAGGCUCGAAAGCGUGGGGAGCAAACAGGAUUAGAUACCCUGGUAGUCCACGCCGUAAACGA
Molecule: ribosomal RNA, 801 nt
Filed under: uncultured bacterium
Lineage: Bacteria
Description: bacterial SSU rRNA
Rfam family: Bacterial small subunit ribosomal RNA
Source: RNAcentral